AUGCUUACGCAAUUGCUGCAUGUCUUCAUGCAGAGGAAAGUCCAUGCUCGCACAGACUGCGAUGUCUGUAGUGUUCAUGCUUGACGAAACGAUAAGUCAAGGUAGCCUUGUAUAAGGCUAACGGCAGGUAAUUUUUCUAAGUCCCUUGCGGAUAUGAAAAAUCCUUGAAAGUGCCACAGAGACGUAGCCGGUUCGGAAACGAUCCGGGUGGAACGGGUAAACCCCAUGAGCGAGCAACCCAAAUUAUGGUAGGGGCACCUUCGUGUAGGGAAACGAACCGAUAGAAGGACAGGCUAUAUGCCUGUAGAUAGAUGAUUGCAACCGGAGUACGAGGCUGACCACCGACUGCAGUACAAAGGAACAGAACAUGGCUUAUCAAG
This 380-nucleotide RNase P RNA is filed under the name Aciduricibacillus chroicocephali. Its description in RNAcentral is "Bacillaceae bacterium 44XB RNase P RNA component class B". It matches the Rfam family "Bacterial RNase P class B". Rfam says of the family: Ribonuclease P (RNase P) is a ubiquitous endoribonuclease, found in archaea, bacteria and eukarya as well as chloroplasts and mitochondria. Its best characterised activity is the generation of mature 5'-ends of tRNAs by cleaving the 5'-leader elements of precursor-tRNAs. The record is from RNAcentral. Lineage: Bacteria; Bacillati; Bacillota; Bacilli; Caryophanales; Bacillaceae.